RNAcentral lists this long non-coding RNA (1500 nucleotides) under Marmota monax (woodchuck). The record is from RNAcentral. Lineage: Eukaryota; Metazoa; Chordata; Mammalia; Rodentia; Sciuridae.
CUUGACAGCCCCAGGGGGAAUGACUUCUCACACUUUGGAGGCACCACAAACAACAAAAAUAUCUACCACUGACAAGUCCUACCUAUGCCCACACUGCUUAUAUUCAGCUCUUUAAUGACCUGUUGGUAAAUACCAACAUAUAGGGAUUCAUAUUGUGAAUAUAAAGUCAGACAGAGAUUAAUAAACAAUUGAGGGAAACUUCUGAAUAUGAUAAAAUGAAAGGGAAAAAGGUACACAGAGCAAACAGAGCCAAUUAAAAUAGAAGAAAAAUUGUAAUUAAUGUCUUUAGAAAUGAGAAGAUGUUAUAUCCAUAAAUAAGUAUAGGAUGCUAUGAAAAUGAAAUAAGCAAAAGAACGCUUGGAAUUUAUAAAUAAGCUACCAUAAAAAGUUAUCUAAGAAUUUGAAGAUAAUGUUAAAGAAAUCUCUCAGAAAAUAGUCUCCUCACUAGGUAGAGAGUCAUGGUGGUAGGAGUAAGUUGGAAGAAAAGCAACAUUUAAAAUACAGGAUUAAAUCAGAAAAACCGACAACUGCCAAACAGGAUUCUAAGGGGGAAAUGAACAAAAAAUAUUAUAGGAGAAAAUUACCACAGAAAAAAUAUAUAUAAUAUCCUCCUGAGAGAAGCACUAAGAGAUAGUGAGAAGUGAAACAUAAUAUUGUUUUCCUAACCAAAAAAAAAAAAUUAGUAUUAUUUGACUUUAAAAAAAAAAAAAAAGCUGGGCACGGUGGUGCACACCUGUAAUCCCAGCAGCUGAGGAGUCCCAGACAGGAGAAUCAAGAAUUCAAAGCCAGCUUCAACAACACCAAGGCUCUAAGCAACUCAGUGAGACCCUGUCUCUAAAUAAAAUACAAAAGAGGGCUGGGGAUGUGCCUCACUGGCUGAGCGCUCCUGAGAGUUCUGUUCCUAGUACCCUCCCAAAAAAAGACCCUCAGUUUCCUCCCCCAAAAUAUGUCCUUCAUUUCGGUGUUCUCUUUCUCUGCCAAAAUUAUUACCAAUUAUCUUACCAUUUUUUUCUAAAACAGUCCUGCAAGUUAUGCUUCUGAUGGAUCUUUCAAACAUCUCUCUCCAACCCUUUUGGCCUUGUCUGAUCCUCACUCACCUCUCCCUGAAAUAGUUCCACAGUCUUAUUACUGGUGGCUCUACCUUUGGUCUCUACCCAUCCAAACCAUCCUACUACAGGCAUGCUUUUGAAAGUUGUUCAUACCUGUAGUAACCUCCUGAAAAUACUGUUUUCCCUCUGAAACUUUGAGGCUUGAUACUGGUAGAUAGGUGUCUUCCCCACCUACCUUGUUUCCAAUAUUAUUUCCAAACAACUUCAUCCCCCCUUCUUCCUUCAAAACUGCUAGAUAUUCUGAAGAUUAUUUCAUCUGACCACACUAGCCCAUACUGUUCCUCUUGACUGUCAUUUGGCUAAGACAUGACCUCGCUUCACUGAAAUUCUAGUACCUGGCUUACUGUCUUCCUCUUUUCCACUACUUGUACCACAUUCUCAGCAAUUUUAG